CAGAGAGUUCUUCAGCUCCCUAUACCCACUGUGAACCUACCUCCUGACCUUUCUUUUGCCUCGGCAGGCGCUCCCCGGGGGGGAGCCCUGCGGCCUCGCGGCAGCGAGGUGCCUGCCGGCGGCGCCAAACUCGUUUGUCUCUGUAGUGUUACUCCGAGAGCACCUGAGAAAUCAGAUCA
Molecule: unclassified non-coding RNA, 179 nt
Filed under: uncultured fungus
Lineage: Eukaryota; Fungi
Description: sequence contains ITS1
Source: RNAcentral